CCACUCAUGACUUAAUCAAUGGUCUUUAUACCUCAACACUCGAGUUGGAUUGGCAGUUGUCCCGCGAAGAUCUUGCUCAGGAUUUUGAGUGUCGUGUGAAAUCCGCAGCCAUACAAAAUGUUACUGUAACUAAGUUUAGCGUGGAUUUACAAGUUCGGCCAACUAGUAUAAAUAUUAAUGGGGUAAAACAUCACACAGUACAAGGCAGCAAAGUGGUUUUAACAUGUGACAUUCGUGGGGCGCGACCAGCAGUAAAUCUUACUUGGUAUAACACAACCACCAUAAUAAGUUCAGACGAAAACGAAAUAACUGAAAUCCGGACUAAAUCGCUGGAAAAAAGUGACGGCACCUUUCAUACUCAAUCCGAACUCAUUUUCAACGCCACCCGCUUUGAAAAUGAUCGGGUUUUUCGUUGCGAAGCUGAAAAUAUUGUUUUGCAAAUUAAUCGCGAAAAACCAAUUUCAUCUGCCCUCACGUUGGAAGUCUUAUAUCCCCCCGUAGUCAAAGUCAGUCCAUCUGAUAUAAUUGCCAAUACAAGUGAAAUAGUUCUUCUUAACUGUGAAUACGUUGCAAACCCUGCUUCACUGACUCAAGUUGA
Molecule: small RNA, 598 nt
Filed under: Drosophila yakuba
Lineage: Eukaryota; Metazoa; Arthropoda; Insecta; Diptera; Drosophilidae
Description: GE28546
Source: RNAcentral